UACGUAGGGUGCAAGCGUUGUCCGGAAUUACUGGGCGUAAAGCGCACGUAGGCGGAUAUUUAAGUCAGGGGUGAAAUCCCGGGGCUCAACCCCGGAACUGCCUUUGAUACUGGGUAUCUCGAGUCCGAGAGAGGUGAGUGGAAUUCCGAGUGUAGAGGUGAAAUUCGUAGAUAUUCGGAGGAACACCAGUGGCGAAGGCGACUUACUGGACGAUUGUUGACGCUGAGGUGCGAAAGCGUGGGGAGCAAACAGG
RNAcentral lists this ribosomal RNA (253 nucleotides) under uncultured bacterium. RNAcentral's name for it is "partial 16S ribosomal RNA". It matches the Rfam family "Bacterial small subunit ribosomal RNA", at positions 524 to 776 of the family's 1533-position model. The record is from RNAcentral.